This 375-nucleotide ribosomal RNA is filed under the name uncultured eukaryote. Its description in RNAcentral is "partial 18S ribosomal RNA". It matches the Rfam family "Eukaryotic small subunit ribosomal RNA", at positions 592 to 976 of the family's 1831-position model. The record is from RNAcentral.
CAAUAGCGUAUAUUUAAGUUGUUGCUGUUAAAAAGCUCGUAGUUGGAUUUCGGUUAAGAGCGACCGGUCCGCCGUUUGGUGUGCACUGGUUGGUUUUAACUUCCUGUAGAGGACGUGCUCUGGGUUUAACGACCUGGACUCGGAGUCUACGUGGUUACUUUGAAAAAAUUAGAGUGUUCAAAGCGGGCUUACGCUUGAAUAUUUCAGCAUGGAAUAACACUAUAGGACUCCUGUCCUAUUUCGUUGGUCUCGGGACGGGAGUAAUGAUUAAGAGGAACAGUUGGGGGCAUUCGUAUUUCAUUGUCAGAGGUGAAAUUCUUGGAUUUAUGAAAGACGAACUUCUGCGAAAGCAUUUGCCAAGGAUGUUUUCAUUAA